GCGGAAGCCCGAGGGGGUCUCGGUGUCCUCAAGCGGCAGCUGAGGCCAACCUCUGCGCGCAGGACCGCGAAGCCGGGCAGCCGCGUCGGCUCCUGCGGGGUGUUGUCUUUCGUUAGUUACUCCCGAGCUUUCCCGCUUCCCAGCCCCGUGAAUACCGCCUGCACUUCUCAGAAGAGCAGCCUGCCGGUGGCUCCGGCACGCGCUGCAGUCCUGCGUUUGCGCCGCUAGGGGGAGAGCCCCUCGGGUUUGGGCCCGAGCGAAGCUUGGCCGCGUUUGCAGCCCUCGAGGGAAACUGCCCAGUCCUGAGGGCCAGGCGAAAAGCCUCCAGCUUAUGAUGCCGGGAACGGACCGCCUGGGUUUCUACCCCCCUUCCCCCGCUUCUCAAUUCUGUAAAUAUUUAUUCUGCAUGUGUUCCAGACCUGGCCGUCAUCCUCCCAGAACUCACAGCCCCCGGAGCAAACAGGCCCAACUAAUCACUGGAUGGAUAUCUUAUAGCAUCGAAGUGCCUCCCAAUAGCAUUUGUGGUCAGUCAGCCUUUGUCUAUACACCCGGCCUCUGUGUGGCUGGUGGUGUAGAUGGAACUGAAAGAACUGCCACCAUUGCCUUAAAAGUUCAUAUAGAAUUCUUUUAUUAAAGACAGAAACCUGGAAUCUAUGAGGAGCACAUACCAUCAGAUUCCCCCACUGUGCUGGACACAGCAGUGAUUUGUUAUUGAGUCAUAUUAUAUAUUAUAAAAGUAUGAACUAAUACACUCUCCUUGAGGAAAAUGGGGCAAAUAUAAAAGAGGUGUUAAAACAACUAACAGACCCUCCCCUGAAAACAACUACUGUUAGCAGGUACUUUUAAAAAUGCUUUUUUCCCUUUUCACUUUUUAAAAAUAUGUGGCCAUAGUAUAUAAACAAUUGUAUAUCUUGCCUUCUUUAUU
Molecule: long non-coding RNA, 925 nt
Organism: Puma concolor (puma)
Lineage: Eukaryota; Metazoa; Chordata; Mammalia; Carnivora; Felidae
Source: RefSeq, a predicted model, not a curated record